GACGAACGCUGGCGGCGUGCUUAACACAUGCAAGUCGAACGGAAAGGCCCUGCUUUUGUGGGGUGCUCGAGUGGCGAACGGGUGAGUAACACGUGAGUAACCUGCCCUUGACUUUGGGAUAACUUCAGGAAACUGGGGCUAAUACCGGAUAGGAGCUCCUGCUGCAUGGUGGGGGUUGGAAAGUUUCGGCGGUUGGGGAUGGACUCGCGGCUUAUCAGCUUGUUGGUGGGGUAGUGGCUUACCAAGGCUUUGACGGGUAGCCGGCCUGAGAGGGUGACCGGCCACAUUGGGACUGAGAUACGGCCCAGACUCCUACGGGAGGCAGCAGUGGGGAAUAUUGCACAAUGGGCGGAAGCCUGAUGCAGCAACGCCGCGUGCGGGAUGACGGCCUUCGGGUUGUAAACCGCUUUCGCCUGUGACGAAGCGUGAGUGACGGUAAUGGGUAAAGAAGCACCGGCUAACUACGUGCCAGCAGCCGCGGUGAUACGUAGGGUGCGAGCGUUGUCCGGAUUUAUUGGGCGUAAAGGGCUCGUAGGUGGUUGAUCGCGUCGGAAGUGUAAUCUUGGGGCUUAACCCUGAGCGUGCUUUCGAUACGGGUUGACUUGAGGAAGGUAGGGGAGAAUGGAAUUCCUGGUGGAGCGGUGGAAUGCGCAGAUAUCAGGAGGAACACCAGUGGCGAAGGCGGUUCUCUGGGCCUUUCCUGACGCUGAGGAGCGAAAGCGUGGGGAGCGAACAGGCUUAGAUACCCUGGUAGUCCACGCUGUAAACGGUGGGUACUAGGUGUGGGGUCCAUUCCACGGGUUCCGUGCCGUAGCUAACGCUUUAAGUACCCCGCCUGGGGAGUACGGCCGCAAGGCUAAUACUCAAAGGAAUUGACGGGGCCCCGCACAAGCGGCGGAGCAUGCGGAUUAAUUCGAUGCAACGCGUAGAACCUUACCUGGGUUUGACAUGGAUCGGGAGUGCUCAGAGAUGGGUGUGCCUCUUUUGGGGUCGGUUCACAGGUGGUGCAUGGCUGUCGUCAGCUCGUAUCGUGAGAUGUUGGGUUAAGUCCCGCAACGAGCGCAACCCUUGUUCACUGUUGCCAGCACGUUAUGGUGGGGACUCAGUGGAGACCGCCGGGGUCAACUCGGAGGAAGGUGGGGAUGACGUCAAGUCAUCAUGCCCCUUAUGUCCAGGGCUUCACGCAUGCUACAAUGGCUGGUACAGAGAGUGGCGAGCCUGUGAGGGUGAGCGAAUCUCGGAAAGCCGGUCUCAGUUCGGAUUGGGGUCUGCAACUCGACCUCAUGAAGUCGGAGUCGCUAGUAAUCGCAGAUCAGCAACGCUGCGGUGAAUACGUUCCCGGG
RNAcentral lists this ribosomal RNA (1343 nucleotides) under uncultured bacterium. Its description in RNAcentral is "16S ribosomal RNA". It matches the Rfam family "Bacterial small subunit ribosomal RNA", at positions 28 to 1378 of the family's 1533-position model. The record is from RNAcentral.